GGUGGAGCAUGUGGUUUAAUUCGAAGCAACGCGCAGAACCUUACCAACCCUUGACAUCCUCAGCUACCUCCAGAGAUGGAGGGUUCCCUUCGGGGACUGAGUGACAGGUGCUGCAUGGCUGUCGUCAGCUCGUGUCGUGAGAUGUUCGGUUAAGUCCGGCAACGAGCGCAACCCUCAUCCUUAGUUGCCAUCAGGUUUGGCUGGGCACUUUAAGGAAACUGCCGGUGAUAAGCCGGAGGAAGGUGUGGAUGACGUCAAGUCCUCAUGGCCCUUACGGGUUGGGCUACACACGUGCUACAAUGGUAGUGACAAUGGGUUAAUCCCAAAAAGCUAUCUCAGUUCGGAUUGGGGUCUGCAACUCGACCCCAUGAAGUCGGAAUCGCUAGUAAUCGCGUAACAGCAUGACGCGGUGAAUACGUUCCCGGGCCUUGUACACACCGCCCGUCACACCAUGGGAGUUGGGUUUACCCGAAGGCCGUGCGCCAACCUUUCGAGGGGGCAGCGGACCACGGUGAGCUCAGCGACUGGGGUGAAGUCGUAACAAGGUAACCAAGGGCGAA
RNAcentral lists this ribosomal RNA (560 nucleotides) under uncultured bacterium. Its description in RNAcentral is "bacterial SSU rRNA". It matches the Rfam family "Bacterial small subunit ribosomal RNA", at positions 931 to 1510 of the family's 1533-position model. The record is from RNAcentral.